Lactuca sativa (garden lettuce) is the source of this 1474-nucleotide long non-coding RNA. RefSeq lists it as uncharacterized. The record is from RefSeq and is a predicted model, not a curated record. Lineage: Eukaryota; Viridiplantae; Streptophyta; Magnoliopsida; Asterales; Asteraceae.
UUCUUUUUUAUUUUUUAUUUUCUUAUUUGUUUACUUUUUAUUAUUUUUUCCCUUUUGUUUUCUUUUGUGUUCUUAGAGAGGGAUACACAUGCAUUCAAGUCAAGAUUUACUAUCUACGUGGUGCUUUUUAGUGUAUUCACCGUUCUUCUCUUCCAAUAAUUGUUCUCCACCUACCUAUUCUCCACCGCUUCCCACCUGAUAGAUUUUUGAAGCCAUCGAAAAUGACUAUACCAUUUAGAAAUUCAUAUUUCGUCCCUCUACAACAUCUCUUACACAUUCUACCACAACCACUUCCACCACCAUCGUCGCCCCCUUCUACCCUUCCGCCAAAUAAUACCCACCUCCUCCAACUGAUUCUUUUUAAUCCUAUAAAUUGCAGAACAAUCGCUAUCUCCCUCUCUGUCUCACAUAAAAACCCCUAAUCUCUCCUGUCUCGCUCUUCCUAUAUCACUGAAGAUAUGGUGAAAUUUCAGCAGCUCUUUCAAGUUUGUUAUUAGAUUGAUUGGAUUUGAGUAAAAAUUUGGCCUCAGGUAUGUUAUAACACUGUCGAUGAUUUAAUUUCAGUUCCGCACUUUUUUGUAAUGAAGCACACCUCCAGCCAUUCUCCAUCUUCAUUUUUUUCGAUCCAUGGUUUUAUCGGAUUGGGGCUAAUCGGUUUCAAUCUGAAUCGAAACAAUCAAUAUCGUGUCGUCCCUCUAUCUACUUCUUUUUUCAUCUAGAAACCCUUUUCUCUAAUUGUUUAUCUGUGUGUUUAUAGGUCCUGAAAUUGAUUGCUUCGAUACUUGCUUCCACUGCCUUAAUACUUACCAUCGCUUUAGAUAUUUGUUUCUCGCUUAGUUCACAGGUUCCCUGGUGAUGCCGCUUGCUUUGAAAAAUUAAGCGAAUGCCUAUUUAAUGUAUGUUAUCUCAUUUGUUUUCUUUAUUGGGUACAUUCAAAUGAUAGUUAUUAUUAAAAUUGCUACUGGUAUAACCUCAAUUGUGGUAUGAUAUUAUAUGCGUAAGGGUGGCAGUUGUCUCAUUGCAAUGGGAUUUGAUCUGCUGGAGGCGCUGUCAUGGGUUCAGGUGAACCUUCGAUUUUCUUGAGGCCUAAACUCAAGAACACAUCACAUUGUGGUGAUCUGACCUCAAUUCCAUGUAAAUAGGAUAGCUCCAACUCCAAAGAAUUUGCAUCAGCUUCCUUUACCCACAGAUGAGGUUGUUGUGAAGAUGUUGUUCCUAUUGAAUUCAAGGUGUUCAUAGUAAUUUCACAUGUAAAAAAAUCUCCAUGAAAUAUUUAUCACAAAGUAAGUUGCUAUUUUUUUGUCAGGAUUGUAUUGUUGGAUGCGAUCCAAGUCAACAUGGUUAUCGUUCAGGAAAUGAUCAAUUACGAGUUCUACUUAUCAACACCAUGAGUUUGAAUGACCACGGAUAUGUCAUAUGAAAAAACAUACUUUUGCAGAAAUCAGAGGAAAAUAAAAAAAAGUUGUUGCUAAAA